This 492-nucleotide ribosomal RNA is filed under the name uncultured bacterium. Its description in RNAcentral is "partial 16S ribosomal RNA". It matches the Rfam family "Bacterial small subunit ribosomal RNA", at positions 29 to 507 of the family's 1533-position model. The record is from RNAcentral.
AGUGAACGCUGGCGGUAGGCCUAACACAUGCAAGUCGAACGGCAGCACAGUAAGAGCUUGCUCUUACGGGUGGCGAGUGGCGGACGGGUGAGGAAUACAUCGGAAUCUACUUUUUCGUGGGGGAUAACGUAGGGAAACUUACGCUAAUACCGCAUACGACCUACGGGUGAAAGCAGGGGAUCUUCGGACCUUGCGCGAUUGAAUGAGCCGAUGUCGGAUUAGCUAGUUGGCGGGGUAAAGGCCCACCAAGGCGACGAUCCGUAGCUGGUCUGAGAGGAUGAUCGGCCACACUGGAACUGAGACACGGUCCAGACUCCUACGGGAGGCAGCAGUGGGGAAUAUUGGACAAUGGGCGCAAGCCUGAUCCAGCCAUACCGCGUGUGUGAAGGAGGCCUUCGGGUUGUAAAGCCCUUUUGUUGGGAAAGAAAAGCAGCAGGUUAAUACCCCGCUGUUCUGACGGUACCCAAAGAAUAAGCACCGGCUAACUUCGUG